ACCUGCAGCCAUAUCACCCUGUAGCCCAAGACUGGUUGCCCACUGAAGCUAAGCAGGGCUGAGCCUGGUCAGUACCUGGAUGGGAGACCUCCUGGGAAAACUAGAUUGCUGUUGGAA
This 117-nucleotide ribosomal RNA is filed under the name Sinocyclocheilus grahami. The record is from RNAcentral. Lineage: Eukaryota; Metazoa; Chordata; Actinopteri; Cypriniformes; Cyprinidae.